GGAGGUUUCGGGCCGGCUGCUAACUGCUGGCUCGGCACUAGGACGCCAUUCGAGAUUAUCCUCACAAGCCGGGUUAUCUCCCUUCUUCGCUGCUGGGAGGCCCCACGCCUCACCCACUCAGGUUCUUCAGGCGCCGCCUCCCAGGGCAGUGGUUUGGUGCCGAGUCGGUGCGGCUGCAGCACGGCACACACGAGGACCUUGUGGAUGGCAGCAGCCACAUGUUGCUAUGGGAACGAGGAUGGCACUGGGACCCACAGCCACUCACCGGCCUGACAGAAGCCUGUAAAUAAAUUCUGCCUCACUCCGGGCUCUGCGCUGAGUGGUCCUGGAGGGCAGCUCAAGCAGCCACUUGCUGACACUCUGUCCUGCUGGUGCCGGCGUGCGCAGGACCCUCCUGCGGCAAGCUCGUGAGCUGACCGCUAUUCUGCCACGGCGAGCACGGAGCGCGCGGGGCAGUCUGCAAUCGCCCACCCUCCGCAACCCUCCACGACACGAUCUCAUUCGUGUCUAUGGGGUCCCCAGGGCCAGGGUCAUCUGACCCAUUUCACGGAUGAGGAAACCCCCUCCUCCGGACCUGGUCCCCGCAUCCACGCACGCCAGCUGUGCUGCUUGGGCUGGCAGCCCGCACUGCCAUCUCCGCCGCGGGCUGCCCUCCACGGUGCCACGAGUUCAGGCGCCCCUCACGUGGCUGACUUCCACCAGGCGCGAGGCUGAAAUCCCUCUAAGGAAGGGCCCUGCCGUGGUUUCUCUCCUAGGCACUGGCUGGCACGGGAAGUGUGCCCACAGAAGCCACUUGCUAAGUCUGACUGUGCCACAGCAGAGAUGGGCUCACUUCUGUGGCUUUACUAUUUAUUAUGCAUUUGUGGGAGACAGAGCAGCCUGGAUGUUUUGAGAGACCAAUUACCCGGAUUCAGGGACACCUUGGGUGGCUCAGUCAGUUAAGCGUCCGACUCUUAAUCUCGGCUCAGGUCACGAUCUCACAGUUUGUGAGUUUGGGCCCCGUGUCAGGCUCUGAGCUGAGCUGACAGUGUGAGGCCUGCUUGGGAUUCUCUCUGUCUCCCUGCCCCUCCCUCUCUGUGCAUUCACGCGCUCCCUCUCUCUCUCAAAAACAGACUAAAAAAAAAAAAAAAAAGAUCAAUUACCUGGAUUCAAAUCCUCACUCUGUCACUCACCAGCAGCAUGACACAGCAAGUCACUUAACAUCACUCGGCUUUAGUUUCCUCAUCAAAUUUUCCUUUUUGCUUGAAACAUUUUGGCUGUGAAAACCACGCACCAAAGAGUACAUGCAAAUGCAAAUGCAUAGCUUGUUGAAUAACUAUGUAAUGAAAGCCACGCAAACUUUCAAGAACCCAGGAACAUUGCUGGUGUACCUUGGUCCUUCCACAUGGCCGGCCCUUCCUGAUCCAAGCCUCCCCACCCUGAGGAAGCCACAAUUCUGGUUUUAAUAAUAAUAAUUCCUUUGCUUUUUUUUUUUUUUUUAAGUUUUACCACCUGUGUCCACAUCUUCAAAUGUGAUAGGUUACUUUUACCUGUUCUUGAAGUUUUAAGAACAUAAUCCUAAUUUACGUAUUCUUUUGUAUCUGACUUCUUUCCCUUGGCAUGCUGUGAUGUUCAUCAUGUAGAUCACAGCCCCCUGGAUGACGUACUAGGCUUGGCUUAUCCAUCUCCCUGGACAGAUGACUGGGUGGUGUCCCACUUCGGUCUGGUAUGGACGAACGGUGCUGCUGUGAACAUUUUCAUUCUUGCAGAAGAGCUUCUUUAGAAAACACACACGAGUGUGAGAUGCUUAGUCUUAGGGCAGGCAUGCAGAUGUUCAACUUUAGUAGAUCUUACCAAACCAUCCUCUUCGGCAACUACAGCAGGUCAUACUCUCACAGCGCUGGAUGUGAGUUGCCCACUGCUCAUCUUUGCCAACACUUGGUACUGAGCUAAUUCACUUUAAAAAAAAUACUUUAUUAUUAUUUUUUAAUAUGUAUUUAUUUUUGAGAGAGAGAGCACGAACAGGGAAGGGCCAGAGACAGAGGGAGACACAGAAUCUGAAGCAAGGCUCCAGGCUCUGAGCUGUCAGCACAGAACCCAACGUGGGGCUCGAACCCACGAACCAUGAGAUCAUGACCUGAGCCGAAGUUGGAUGCUUAACUGACAGCCACCCAGGUUCCCCUGAGCUACCUCAUUUUUAAAAAGUGAAUGAGAGUAGAAUCUACUUCCAUAUGACGGUUAGAUAGUGUAAUAAACCUAAAGGGUUUGGAAUAGAGCCUGCCACACAGUAAGUGCUCAGUACACAUGAGCUCUUGUUUUAUAAUUUAUAAUAAGAAUCAUCAUUAUAAAGGGUCUUGAACUAAGACAUGCUGAGGUAUGUGGCUUAUUUACCUUUCCACUUACAAAAGUGACUGGUUUAAGAAACUCUUCAUUGUGACUACAGAAAGUCUGCCUUAGACCACCACAGUCUCUUGAUGGUGAGAACCUGUAUUACUGAACCCUUUACGUGGCUGACUGAUGCACAAGGGAGACUGAACAAUUCCUUCACUCGCUCAGCCAACAGGUACUCUAUGCUGAUGCGCACCAGGCCCAUGCGAGGUGCCUGGGACACAAAGAUAAAUAUGACACAGCCUCUUUCCUCAGCUGCACACACACAGUAGGUGAAGUGGGACCCUGAGAGCAGCCUAUGGACCAUCAGCCCUAUCCUCAGCUUCUGUUGACUUGGCAAAGGUUUGCAUGUGGCUUCUUGGGAGCGGGACCCCAGUCUUUCUAUAUUGCAGACAGUUAGUUUUUUCUAUAGUCUUUUUGAGCCCCCAGGGGCCAUCUGUGCCCCUGAGCUCUCUGGCUACUGAAAAAUCGCUCCAGAACGUGCUCUCAAACCCGGGUUCCCAUCCAAGCCAUAAGAACAAACAGGUACCACUUCUACUUCCUUUAAUACACGGACAGAUUUGCAGACAGCUCUUGUCUGGACCUCGUCUGGCCUCUGAGGAUGGAGGUGUGUCCCUCUGUGGCCCUGCUACGGUAAUUAAUGAAAUGGAAACGAAGGGGUCCACGCGAGGUGCUGCUUCAAAAGCAGCAGGGCUCCUCCACGGUCUCCAGAGCUGAAACUGGACAUCUGCCGUGACGUUUGUGGUGUUGUUGACAAGGCCCGGGUUGCAACCGUUUCCAGACAAGAGAGCCUCAGAAAGCUGAGCAGUACCUGCCUCCUGAACACGUAGAGUUGAUUAGCAGUUGAGGAAGAUGGGCAACCGCGCGGGAACGACCUCACGACUGCCAGACUGGCGGCUGAGGCCACCAUAACGUGACUGAGGAAAACAGCCCAGGAGGACCUUUCGGGCCACUGGCCCUGGGGAGAAUCAGACAAAUGGAAACAACUGAAGGAGAGCAGGAUGAGAGGGUGGGCGUGCUAAAAGAUGCGUGUCUGCCAUCUAGUGCCAAGCGUGACAAGAAGACAAAGGAAACCCCGCGAGUGGGCAGAGAAGACAUGCAAGAAAGGCAACCGAGGGUAAAGGGGAGAAACGCGAGCCGUGUGGGAAACACGCCAAGCACAGGGAGGCUGCGGAGCGGGGGAUGACAGAGCACACGCUGGCGGGGAGCGAGAGGAAGCGUAAGAAGCGAAGAUAAGUGACAAGGAUGAUGCCAAGUACACGAGGAGCGGGAGGUCACACGAGGCAGCGGUGGAGUCUGUAAGAUGUUUCCCAGUUGGCAACACCACAUUGAGGCUUUUUUCCCUGAACAAUAACUGACUCAGUCAGGCAGCAUGGCAAGUUGCUGCUCAGGCAGAUGCAACAGAUCACCGGUUAAUUAGUCAACCUGUACAGAUGGGCUGUUCCUCUCUUGACUGGACACAGGGUUUUCUUUUGCUACUUAAUGUUGCAAUCCCUUGGGCAAGGGGACUCCGAGGCCGGGGCAGACCCACAUAGGCGCCUGGGGCCCAAUCCCGUGACUCAGGUGAGAGUCACACCAGACCCUGACCUUCCCUGCAAACACGCUGGGCCUCCAGGGGGAGUGGAGUGUGGUGGGAGGCAUGGGUCAGGCUAGGAGGGGGAGGCUGGACAGGUCUAGGUACCAGGGGUCAGUGGGUGGCUGAGAACCUGUCCUGGGAAGGUGAGAGGGGGCAGAGGUGGGCCUGUGUGUAAACUGAGGCUCCCGGCCCCUGGUGAGUGCCCCACGUCCCCAUGGGGCUCCCAUUAUGAAAACAAAUUCACAGGUAAAAUUGUGAAGAAUUCAAGAUGGUGCUGGAGAACAUAAACCCCAAGCACAGAGUCCCCUUCUGGGUGUGGAGCCUCACACAACUGCCCUGGUCACAUGCCCACGAAGCCAGUCUUGUGUAGAGCUGAGACAUACCAUGUUGAGGUGAAAACUACAGAAUGGUUACUAUUUUGACGCCUUUCAUUUCCUCUUGAGUUCCAGCUUUCCUGUUCCUUAUGAUUCCUGUCUUUUUUUAAGUUUAUUUAUUUUGAGAAAGAGAGAAAGAGAGAGAGAGAGAGAGACAGAGAGAGCAUGCACACACACAAACGAGAGUGGGGGGAGGAGCAGAGAAUACCAAGCAGGCUCCAUGCUGAAGCAUGGAGCCCGACAUGGGGCUCCAACCCACUGGACUAUGAGAUCAUGACCUGAGCCAAAACCAAGAGUUGGACGCUCAACCAACCGAGCCAUUCAGGCACCCCGUGAUUCCUGCCUUUAACUAGCAGUCCUUCAGAGGUUCACACUCA
Long non-coding RNA from Acinonyx jubatus (cheetah), 4694 nucleotides. RefSeq lists it as uncharacterized. NCBI's taxonomy places the organism in Eukaryota, Metazoa, Chordata, Mammalia, Carnivora, Felidae. The record is from RefSeq and is a predicted model, not a curated record. The transcript has 4 exons.